GAGUUUGAUCAUGGCUCAGAUUGAACGCUGGCGGCAUGCCUUACACAUGCAAGUCGAACGGCAGCACGGGAGCUUGCUCCUGGUGGCGAGUGGCGAACGGGUGAGUAAUGCAUCGGAACGUAUCCUGGAGUGGGGGAUAACGUAGCGAAAGUUACGCUAAUACCGCAUAUUCUGUGAGCAGGAAAGCGGGGGACCUUCGGGCCUCGCGCUCUUGGAGCGGCCGAUGUCGGAUUAGCUAGUUGGUGAGGUAAAGGCUCACCAAGGCGACGAUCCGUAGCAGGUCUGAGAGGAUGAUCUGCCACACUGGAACUGAGACACGGUCCAGACUCCUACGGGAGGCAGCAGUGGGGAAUUUUGGACAAUGGGGGCAACCCUGAUCCAGCCCAUGCCGCGUGAGUGAAGAAGGCCUCGGUU
RNAcentral lists this ribosomal RNA (414 nucleotides) under bacterium enrichment culture clone ALO1_GLFRUDD03FNKHV. RNAcentral describes it as "bacterial SSU rRNA". It matches the Rfam family "Bacterial small subunit ribosomal RNA", at positions 9 to 424 of the family's 1533-position model. The record is from RNAcentral.